AGUUCGGAUUGUAGUCUGCAACCCGACUACAUGAAGCUGGAAUCGCUAGUAAUCGCGGAUCAGAAUGCCGCGGUGAAUACGUUCCCGGGUCUUGUACACACCGCCCGUCACACCAUGGGAGUCGGAAAUGCCCGAAGUCUGUGACCCAACCUACGGGAGGGAGCAGCCGAAGGCAGGUCGGAUGACUGGGGUGAAGUCGUAACAAGGUAUC
RNAcentral lists this ribosomal RNA (211 nucleotides) under uncultured bacterium. Its description in RNAcentral is "partial 16S ribosomal RNA". It matches the Rfam family "Bacterial small subunit ribosomal RNA", at positions 1290 to 1500 of the family's 1533-position model. The record is from RNAcentral.